UAACCUGCCUCAUACAGGGGAAUAACAGUUGGAAACGGCUGCUAAAACCGCAUAAGCGCACAGUAUCGCAUGAUACAGUGUGAAAAACUCCGGUGGUAUGAGAUGGACCCGCGUCUGAUUAGCUAGUUGGUGAGGUAACGGCCCACCAAGGCAACGAUCAGUAGCCGGCCUGAGAGGGUGAACGGCCACAUUGGGACUGAGACACGGCCCAAACUCCUACGGGAGGCAGCAGUGGGGAAUAUUGCACAAUGGGGGAAACCCUGAUGCAGCGACGCCGCGUGAGUGAUGAAGUAUUUCGGUAUGUAAAGNUCUAUCAGCAGGGAAGAUAAUGACGGUACCUGACUAAGAAGCACCGGCUAAAUACGUGCCAGCAGCCGCGGUAAUACGUAUGGUGCAAGCGUUAUCCGGAUUUACUGGGUGUAAAGGGUGCGUAGGUGGUGAGACAAGUCUGAAGUGAAAAUCCGGGGCUUAACCCCGGAACUGCUUUGGAAACUGCCUGACUAGAGUACAGGAGAGGUAAGUGGAAUUCCUAGUGUAGCGGCGAAAUGCGUAGAUAUUAGGAGGAACACCAGUGGCGAAGGCGACUUACUGGACUGCUACUGACACUGAGGCACGAAAGCGUGGGGGAGCAAACAGGAUUAGAUACCCUGGUAGUCCACGCCGUACACGAUGAAUACUAGGUGU
RNAcentral lists this ribosomal RNA (684 nucleotides) under uncultured bacterium. RNAcentral describes it as "bacterial SSU rRNA". It matches the Rfam family "Bacterial small subunit ribosomal RNA", at positions 122 to 823 of the family's 1533-position model. The record is from RNAcentral.